Long non-coding RNA from Cataglyphis hispanica, 1344 nucleotides. RefSeq lists it as uncharacterized. The record is from RefSeq and is a predicted model, not a curated record. The transcript has 3 exons. NCBI's taxonomy places the organism in Eukaryota, Metazoa, Arthropoda, Insecta, Hymenoptera, Formicidae.
UUCAGAUGGCAAAUUAUGAAAAGAUUACGAAAAGUACAAUUUGAUUGUAAGAACAUUCAAUGGUGUAUGUUAACGAUGCACAGGUUGAGAUUUUUAUUAAAAUGUCAAUAAAAAUCUCAACCUGUGCAGCGUUAAAAUACAAAAGUAAGAUAUAAAAAUACAUACUGUGCAUCGUUAAAAUACAAAGUAGAUUUUUAAAAGAUUUCAAAAAUUUUUAAAGACUGCUGGGUUAUCAUUGACAAAAAUCCAAUAGAGGAAGAAAAAUUGAUAGAUGGAUGUAUUACCACUGUGAUGGCUUACGAUAUUGAAGAUAGAAAUGCUGAUCAGCAUAUCGCUUUUUUACUUCAUCGUUAAAGAAGAUAGACAAUCAAAUCUAGUUGCAUGAAAUUAAAAAAGCCUAGAUGGUUAUUCAAUGUUGACUGUGAUUGUAAUGGCGUAAGAGACGAAAACGGAUCGUCUGGUGCGUUGUCAUUUACAUCGAUAACAGGGUGUUGGUUAACAUCACUCUUUUAUCUGUAAAAGACGAUGCACCGUUUCUUGAUAUAUCUUCCAUUGUUUGCGAUGAAAACAAGCUGCACGAUAAUGGAGCUAAAGCACGAGAUUCUGACGAGAAUGGUUCGCCAUUCGAAUUCCGAAUUGAUGUCAGUGCUGAUGAUGAAAUCAGAUCCAAGUUCGAUAUUCGAGGAAAUUCUCUACAUGCGCUAGCUGGAGAUUAAUCGCGAAGAGCGGAAGAGCUACACUAUAUCGAUCGCGAUCAGGCAGCGGUAUGUCUUCUAUGAUAGGUAUCUUGACAUUCCCUGUUAUCAAUAGGUGAUGAAAAUGCAAUCCCAUGCAAGAAGGUCUCGAAGUCUAUAGAUGGCAUACUUUGCUGUCGAGUACAUCGAAUGAUACCUUUGUAUUGAAAUUUACUAUUUCGUAUUCACCAAUACCAGCACGUUUGUCGAUGUAGAGUGACAAACGUGCUGGUAUUGGUGUAUAUGAGAUAUGCUGAGCCACUAUGCACUUGCUAUGCACCAUAAACUUUACUAUAAUUAUGUCACGAGUGACUAUAUGAACACUUUAUAUGAAUCCCGUUUAUUCGGGAAAGUGAUGCGUAUCUUAUAUUGAUCCUUAAGAUGAAUUUUUAUAUUGUGUCGAUAAAAAACUUAUCGCGUUUAUGUUAUCAUUUUACACUAGAAGUAAUAUAUAUGUAAUAAGUGGGAGAAGAGAAAGAAUAGUGCGUUCACUGUACGUUGCACGAAUAUAAACAUUAAAAGUUCUGGAUUAUCGUAUUCUCGUUGUAUGUAUUUCGACGGGUUGUUGAACAAUCUACAUUUCCAUAUGUUAGGCGAUCUUUUCGUUUUU